GAUGAACGCUGGCGGCGUGCCUAAUACAUGCAAGUCGAGCGAACAGACGAGGAGCUUGCUCCUCUGACGUUAGCGGCGGACGGGUGAGUAACACGUGGAUAACCUACCUAUAAGACUGGGAUAACUUCGGGAAACCGGAGCUAAUACCGGAUAAUAUAUUGAACCGCAUGGUUCAAUAGUGAAAGACGGUUUUGCUGUCACUUAUAGAUGGAUCCGCGCCGCAUUAGCUAGUUGGUAAGGUAACGGCUUACCAAGGCGACGAUGCGUAGCCGACCUGAGAGGGUGACCGGCCACAGUGGGACUGAGAGAAGGCACAGACUCCUACGGGAAGCAGAAGUGGGGAAUAUUGCACAAUGGGCGGAAGCCUGAUGCAGCAACGCCGCGUGCGGGAUGACGGCCUUCGGGUUGUAAACCGCUUUCGCCUGUGACGAAGCGUGAGUGACGGUAAUGGGUAAAGAAGCAACGGCUAACUACGUG
Molecule: ribosomal RNA, 477 nt
Filed under: uncultured bacterium
Lineage: Bacteria
Description: partial 16S ribosomal RNA
Rfam family: Bacterial small subunit ribosomal RNA
Source: RNAcentral